This 475-nucleotide ribosomal RNA is filed under the name uncultured bacterium. RNAcentral describes it as "bacterial SSU rRNA". It matches the Rfam family "Bacterial small subunit ribosomal RNA", at positions 33 to 507 of the family's 1533-position model. The record is from RNAcentral.
CGGACGACGCUGGCGGCGUGGCCUAACACAUGCAAGUCGAGCGGAGAUGUACUGAAGAUUUAUCGGAUGUACAUCUUAGCGGCGGACGGGUGAGUAACGCGUGGGCAACCUGCCUUUCACUGGGGGAUAACACAGGGAAACCUGUGCUAAUACCGCAUGACAUCACGUAGGGCAUCCUAUGUGAUCAAAGGAGAGAUCCGGUGGAAGAUGGGCCCGCGUCCAAUUAGCUGGUUGGUGAGGUAAAGGCUCACCAAGGCGACGAUUGGUAGCCGAACUGAGAGGUUGAUCGGCCACAUUGGGACUGAGACACGGCCCAGACUCCUACGGGAGGCAGCAGUGGGGAAUAUUGCGCAAUGGGGGGAACCCUGACGCAGCAACGCCGCGUGAAGGAAGAAGGUCUUCGGAUUGUAAACUUCUUUGAUGAGGGACGAAUAAAGUGACGGUACCUCAAAAACAAGCCACGGCUAACUACGUG